CUAUCUCAUGUUCAGCUAAUACCUGACACACCUGAUUCCAUCACUUGGAAGCUCACCAAGGAUGGUCAUUAUUCAGCUGCAACGGCUUACAGUGUGCAAUUUCUUGGUUUAGUCGAUACGGACUUACCACGAAUGGUUUGGAGAAUUUGGGCUCCCCCAAAAUACAAAUUCUUCGCUUGGCUAGUCAUCAACAAUAGAAUCUGGACGGCAGACCGGCUUCAGAAGCGGGGAUGGCCUAAUUACAACAUGUGCCCCCUUUGUAAGCAAGUUCAGAAAUCGGCGGCUCAUCCGCUUUUCAAAUGCCGAUACAUGGUUAGAGUGUGGAACAUGAUUGAGGUGUCUUCAUGA
RNAcentral lists this ribosomal RNA (348 nucleotides) under Triticum aestivum (bread wheat). RNAcentral describes it as "partial small subunit ribosomal RNA". Lineage: Eukaryota; Viridiplantae; Streptophyta; Magnoliopsida; Poales; Poaceae. The record is from RNAcentral.